This 639-nucleotide ribosomal RNA is filed under the name uncultured Actinomycetes bacterium. RNAcentral's name for it is "bacterial SSU rRNA". It matches the Rfam family "Bacterial small subunit ribosomal RNA", at positions 232 to 885 of the family's 1533-position model. The record is from RNAcentral. Lineage: Bacteria; Bacillati; Actinomycetota; Actinomycetes.
CGCGGCCUAUCAGCUUGUUGGUGUGGUAACGGCUCACCAAGGCAUCGACGGGUAGCUGGUCUGAGAGGAUGAUCAGCCACACUGGGACUGAGACACGGCCCAGACUCCUACGGGAGGCAGCAGUAGGGAAUCUUGCGCAAUGGGCGAAAGCCUGACGCAGCAACGCCGCGUGGGGGAUGAAUGCCUUCGGGUUGUAAACCCCUUUCAGCAGGGACGAAAUUGACGGUACCUGCAGAAGAAGGUCCGGCCAACUACGUGCCAGCAGCCGCGGUAAUACGUAGGGACCAAGCGUUGUCCGGAAUUAUUGGGCGUAAAGAGCUCGUAGGCGGUUCAGUAAGUCGGGUGUGAAAACUCAAGGCUCAACCUUGAGACGCCACUCGAUACUGCUGUGACUUGAGUCCGGUAGAGGAGUGUGGAAUUCCUGGUGUAGCGGUGAAAUGCGCAGAUAUCAGGAGGAACACCAGCGGCGAAGGCGGCACUCUGGGCCGGUACUGACGCUGAGGAGCGAAAGCAUGGGGAGCAAACAGGAUUAGAUACCCUGGUAGUCCAUGCCGUAAACGUUGGGCACUAGGUAUGGGACCAUAUCAACGGGUUCCGUGCCGUAGCUAACGCAUUAAGUGCCCCGCCUGGGGAGUACGG